UCCGGUUUGUCACCGGCGGUCUCCCUAGAGUUCCCGGCCGAACCGCUGGCAACUAGGGACAAGGGUUGCGCUCGUUGCGGGACUUAACCCAACAUCUCACGACACGAGCUGACGACAGCCAUGCAGCACCUGUGCACGUGUCCCGAAGGAGGGCCCCUGUUUCCAGGGGCUUUCACGUGCAUGUCAAGCCCAGGUAAGGUGGGGAUGACGUCACGCAACUAACCA
This 225-nucleotide unclassified non-coding RNA is filed under the name uncultured bacterium. RNAcentral describes it as "contains 16S-23S intergenic spacer region". The record is from RNAcentral.